RNAcentral lists this ribosomal RNA (427 nucleotides) under uncultured bacterium. RNAcentral's name for it is "partial 16S ribosomal RNA". It matches the Rfam family "Bacterial small subunit ribosomal RNA", at positions 355 to 774 of the family's 1533-position model. The record is from RNAcentral.
UGGGGAAUAUUGCACAAUGGGCGCAAGCCUGAUGCAGCCAUGCCGCGUGUGUGAAGAAGGCCUUCGGGUUGUAAAGCACUUUCAGCGAGGAGGAAGGGUAGUGUGUUAAUAGCACAUUGCAUUGACGUUACUCGCAGAAGAAGCACCGGCUAACUCCGUGCCAGCAGCCGCGGUAAUACGGAGGGUGCAAGCGUUAAUCGGAAUUACUGGGCGUAAAGCGCACGCAGGCGGUUUGUUAAGUCAGAUGUGAAAUCCCCGCGCUUAACGUGGGAACUGUAUUUGAAACUGGCAAGCUAGAGUCUUGUAGAGGGGGGUAGAAUUCCAGGUGUAGCGGUGAAAUGCGUAGAGAUCUGGAGGAAUACCGGUGGCGAAGGCGGCCCCCUGGACAAAGACUGACGCUCAGGUGCGAAAGCGUGGGGAGCAAACA